RNAcentral lists this ribosomal RNA (328 nucleotides) under uncultured eukaryote. Its description in RNAcentral is "partial 18S ribosomal RNA". It matches the Rfam family "Eukaryotic small subunit ribosomal RNA", at positions 1470 to 1796 of the family's 1831-position model. The record is from RNAcentral.
CCCUUAGAUGUCCGGGGCUGCACGCGCGCUACACUGAAGGAAUCAGUGUGCUAAAACCAUUGUCGAAAGGCAUUGGUAAACCCAUUAAAAUCCUACGUGAUUGGGAUCGGGAAUUGCAAUUAUUUCCCUUGAACGAGGAAUUCCCAGUAAGUGUGGGUCAUAAGCUCGCGUUGAUUACGUCCCUGCCCUUUGUACACACCGCCCGUCGCUGCCCGGGACUGAGCCGUUUCGAGAAAAGCGGGGACUGCUGCUGUCGGGGCUUUCGGGCCUUGGCUUCGGUGGAAACCGCUUUAAUCGCAGUGGCUUGAACCGGGCAAAAGUCGUAACA